CCCCCCCUUGCCUGGCUUUUGUCUUGACGGAAGGGAAAGGCGGGAGGAAGCCACCUGGCGGAGCAUCAGGGGUGCGCUUGUCUCCUGCGAGCCAGGUGGGCGCUGGAGCGCCGCGGUCGGGCGAGGCGAGGAGCUGGGAGAGAGGCGUCUCCUCUCCUCGGCUUGCUUUUCUCUCUCACGGGGCCGCCCGUUGGCCGAAGCACAUUCUAUCUGUAAUCAUUGGCAUCAGGACAGAUUGAAAUAAAAACCUGACAGAUGCCUGUGCCACCGCCGCCACCACCACCUCUUCCACCAUCUUUUUCCACUGGUCCCCCACCUCCUCCCCCUCCGCCGCUUCCAUCACCUUCUUCUGCAGGAUCACCACCACCACCACCACCUCCUCCACCACCUCUUCCUCCUCCAUCACCUUCUUCUGGAGGUGCGCCACCAUCCCCUAUUUCUAUUCCAUCAUCUUCUGGAGAGCCGCCACCACCACCACCACCACAGCUACCAUCUCCAACUCCUCUGGCAAAUACAGAGCCACCCAAGACAAGAAGGGAUGAUUCAAAAAGCCGAAGUGCUUUGUUACACGAAAUCCAGAGAGGGACUCGUCUGAGGAAGGUAGCACAAAUCAACGACCGAAGUGCACCGCAGAUUGAAAACAGUAGAAGAAGAACAAGUAAGGAUGGAGGAGGCUCUGGAAAUGGGAGGAAUGAUGUUCCUCAGGCACUAGGGAACCUUUUUGCGGAGGGAUUUCCUGUUCUAAGACCAGUUGGCCAAAGAGACUUAACAGGCAAUAAGGCUGGGAAGCCAUCUGCUGUACGAAUGUCCCUGCCUCUAAAAUCUCCAGCCCCACAGAACAAUAGUGGAAAAGCCAAUGGCAGCCAUGAAGUUACACCUGAAAGCACCACACCAACAGACCAGUCAGAAGAAUGUAAGGCCCAGCGAGCAGUGCCAAUUCGUCCCAGUAUUCCUGCUCCUCCACCGCCACCGCCACCUCCUCCACCACCUCCGCCACCACUGCCACCUUCCAGUGGCAAACCUUCACUCAUCUUCCCUCCUCCCCCGUCACUUCCUCCUCCUCUGGCUGAAAACCACGACAAACUCGUCUCCCCAAACUUUGCUACAGAUGCUACUUCACCCCCUCAGAAAGAUGGGCCUCCUAAGGCUCAGUCCUCCCCCUCACACAUGCCACCUCCACCACCUCCCUUGCCAGUGGCACCACCUUCUGGGCUUCCAGGCAGAACAGGUGAACGUUCCUCCCAGCUUGAUUUAAGAACUAACCCAACACCCACCCUGCCUCCCCCUCCCCCACCUCCUAUGUCCACCUUUUCCUCACACAGAACAUCUUUGUCACUACCAUCUUCGCCAACCACUAACAGUGCCUUGUGUGACAACAAUGAUGCUGCCCCUCCAUUGCCUCCCAAGUCACUAUUUGUGCAAUCUCAGUCUCAGAAGCCCAGUAUUCAGUCGCUGCCUCUACCCCCUACUCCUCCUCCUCCUCCUCCGGCCACACAGCAAGCUGCUGUCAUGCAGAAAAGACGACACGGGAGAGGCGCAGGCAAGUUGAUGCCACCACCUGUUCCUCCUGCAAGAUCCCCAACAACUGAGCUCACAAGCAAAAGCCAAUAUGCUCACGUAUCUCCAUGGCUGGUUACCCAUGAGCUCCCAGCACUUAAGAAUGGAACUGUGCACAUAAUGGAGGAUAUACUCCACCAGAAGAAUCAAUACAGUUUUGGAAGGAGACGGGAUGCACAAGUUAAAACAAGAAACGAAAUUCUGAAAGCAAUUAUAGAUGACUUUGAGUCUAAAUUUACUUUCCAUUCUGUGGAAGAAUUUCCUCCUCCAGAGGAGUUUAAACCAUGUCUGAAAAUUUAUCCUAGCCAAGAGGCUAGAGAUAGCACCAACAAUCCUCUCAUAAGAGCACAAGUGAGAUGAGAAGAUCCAUGCAUGUCGCAGCAGGAGUGUUGCUGAAAAGGUCAACAGUUGUAUUAUAAAAUAUAGAACUCUUGUUUUCAUAACCACACAGUACGUGUGGCUAAAAUUACACUAUGUUCAAGACCAUAUGUGCUACCUACUGCUUGUGAACACUGGAUGGAGUUGGAAUGGUGGUGCAUGGACUGCUAGGGGUUGAAAUGCGAUUGUUUUUCAGUUUCAGCUGCGUUCAAAUGGACCUGAAAUUCCAUGGAGUCGCCACUCUGUUUAUUUUAAUAAAUUUCAUGGAAUCCUCAGGAUAGCUCAAGUAGGUCAAGUCCAUAAUGUAGGUCUGUCUGUAUAUGGCAUACUUUAUUUGGCCAUAAGUACUCACAGUGAGAAGAAAUAGUGGUUAAAUUUGUAAUUAAUUACAAUGGUCAAAGUUCCUACUUGUAUUAUCUACUGAACUUCAGCCUACUCCACUAUAUACACUCUAAUUCCAGACUGGAUUUGUUGUAUUUCAAUAGGUUGAAAGUUACAUUUUCUCUUCUUAAGAAAUCUACGUACUGUAACAUUGUGUAAAUUAAUGUCUUGUGGGUUCCCUGAAGUGACUUUGCAGUUGUAUGGCACUCCAGUGAAAUACAACCUGUAUAUAUAUUUAUAUAUGAACACAAAGGUUGCUGGCAAAAUCUUACCCACUGGCAAAGCAGAGGCUUGACAUUAGUUGCAUAUAUAUCUGUGAGAAUACCACUUUAUCUUAGAUCUCCUAGGCUUGGAUAUGUCCACCUUUGAGUGGAGAAGAACAACCUACAAGUUAAAUAGCCUUUUAAAGGAAGUACGAUAGGGCAUGACAGAAUAUGCAUUGUCCAGCAAACCUCAGGUUUUAAAAUAGAGGUCCUGUCACUCACUACCAGAUGUCUGUUCGUGGGCAUUUUAGCACAAUAUAUUUAUGAUGCUGCUAUAGAAGGCAAGGGUCUUAGACACCCUAUUACCCAGCAAAUCUUAGAAAUCAAAUUAGAUAUUAUAUGGCAGACAUACCUCUUCUACCCAUAUUCCAACAAAAUUACUUUUAAGCAAAAUGUAUUUAUGUGCAGGGAAUAAUUAUAAGUGCACCCCACCUCAGUCAGUAAAGCUGGUCUUAAAAGUUUGUUUUAAAUAUUUUUCUUUUAAAUUUAAAUAAGGCAUGUGGUACCCACAUAAAAUUUGAUUCAUUGUGCUUUAAAAGGGAAAUGUGUUUUCAGUGGGGGAUCUUCACAGCCUUCAGAAUAAGUGAAGGGCAUGUUGUCCACCUCUGAACUAUGGAAACCUUUGAGAGGUACAGUUAUGGGUAUAUAGGUAAAGUUUCCCCUAGUCAAAUUUGUCCAGUCGUUUCCGACUCUAGGGGGCGGUGCUCAUAUACUGAAUGUUAAAGACUUAGAAUGUUAAUCACUUAGAAAAGAGUGUUAAGACACCACAUGUAUAAUUUAUUUCUUCUUUCAUACUUGCAUCCUACUGUAGCUACUUCUCCUUAAAAGAAAAACACAGCUUGUGACCUUUACAUAUAUCUGCUAUGUAAUGUCCAGCCGCUCAUUAAGAGUGGAAUAUCAGCAUCUCUUCUAUACUGCAGAGGUCUUUGCUCCUUAUUUAAACAGCACGAGCUAUUUAAUUUAAUAACUUAAAAUACCAUCAGUCUUUAAACCAUUCUGCAUAAAUGCUAUUUUGAUCCUUCUCUCAGAGGUAGGGAGCACAGUACCUACUUUAGAAUGAAGAUUGAUCCUGUUGUGCUUUGGUAUGGCAGCAACAAGGAAACUACUAUCUGCAUCAAUCAAAGCAUUAAAUCCCUGCGCAUAGUUUAUACUUGCUUUUCAAAUAUGGGGACAGCAUCACUAAACACUAAAUUAUGUUUUUUGUUCAGGAUAGAGGAACCAGGAAAUAAUUGUGUAGGAAACAUCUCUAGAAGUUAUUUACUCUUGGCUGAUAUUUGAAAUUCAAGAACACACAAGAUAUACAAAGGGAUUUCUGCUUUUACAGAAUACUCUAUGGAAGUGCAAUUUCAACUUAAAAUGCCAUGUGAAAUACAUAUCUUCGUACUUUAUUGCAAAAUGUAAGUUAUGCAGCUGUUUAAAAGUGCUUUCGUUUAGAUUUGCAUUAAAUUAUCUUCAAAGACAAUUUUGUUUCCAACACAGUCAAUGGUACAAAGAAAUAAUUUUGGAUCUUUGACUUCAUAAUCUUGCAGAGAUGGAAAUAACUGCCAAAAUGUGUAUCAGGAAAGGCUAUGAAAUAUUUGGCCACUCACUGGUUCAUUUUGUGCAUUUUAUUAAUUUUGUCAAUCAGCAUUAUCUACCUAAUACAUACAUCUCAUUAUUGCAGACUCUUCACACAUACUGGUUUCCACAAGAAAUUUGUAAACAAACACUUUUGAUUCUGAUUCAGAUGUAUAUUAUACAUUUGACUGUAUCCUAGGGAGGCAGUGUGGCUAGAUUUUGUAGCAUACCUGAAAAUUCGUUGGGUUUUGCAGAAGAAACCACCCAAACAAACACAUUUUGUUUUAUGGAAGAGAUCAUCCCAUUGCCUGCCUCCCCAUUUUAUAUUCAUAAAUCCUCUUGCAUUUAACUGACUUCAGAUUUAGCUAUGUCUUCCUCUGAUUCCUCACAUUUCAGAAUGAGAAUGUAAAACUAUUUUCUAGGUAAUUGCUUUAGAACAGAAUUGGGCAUCAUGUAGGCCUGUGAAUGUUACUGAACUGCACCUCUCGUCAUCCUUCUGUAGGUUAACAAAAGAGCUGAUGGCAGUUGUAGUUCAGUGACAUCUAAGUAGCCUACACUGUUUUAGAGACAAUCUACAAGAAAGGAAGUAUCUUGAGCAAUGAAGAGGAAUUUGUGUUUAUGCUUGCACGGACUCCAUGAUAAUCUCCAUCAGAACAGCCAAGUAGAAAAACUUGAAUUGCUCCAGCAAAAGGAAGUAAGCCAACCUCCUUAAUUUGAAGGAUCCUCACAGAGGCAUAAGAUGGAAGAAGUGUGUGUCAUUCAGUGUUUGGCCACUGAAUGUUUUGAAUUUGUGCAGCUCAAGCAUAAUGUGAGAGGCUGUGAUUACACAGAUGAAGGAAAUUUCUCUGGAGUUUCUAAGUAACAGAACCAAAAGUAUAAUUUCUUAAGAUCACAUCUGAUUGAUGGUUUCAUAUAGAUGGGUGCUCUUAUUCUCCGAUUUGACAUCCCCCAGCACUCACAUUUUAAAAACCCACACAAAACAGAAGCAACAAUUUAGAGCAUUUUACCUGACAACUAGCUAACCAUACCUGAUGUUAUCUAGAUCCAAGGACAAAAGCAAAACCUACAAAGAAAAGAGAUCAAGAUACAAAAACUGGAGAGUGCCACAUUUCUCUUCAACGGCCAAUAUUCUGCUGCACAGUUGCACUAAUGGAAGGCAACAAUAUACUGUACAGCAGCUUUUUUACUAGCAUUUAAUGAGUCCCAGUGUGGAUGUUCAGGUGUGCAUUCCAACCCAAGUGGGGACUCAAGACUAGGAAGCUGCAGUAAGUUACCCUGUUUAUCUUCUGCAGGUGCAAUGAAGCAAGAAGAUUUUGGUCAAUAGAUUAGCUGA
Non-coding RNA from Pogona vitticeps (central bearded dragon), 5469 nucleotides. Lineage: Eukaryota; Metazoa; Chordata; Lepidosauria; Squamata; Agamidae. The record is from RefSeq and is a predicted model, not a curated record.